CUUUAUAUUAAGGUAUGUUGAUCCACUCUAAAUGACCAUCAUAUUACAUGGAUCUACUUCAGCAAUAACUUGUCUCAUUCUUGUUAGUAAUAACUUGUUUCUUUCUUGUUAAAACGCAUCAGCCUGAGCAAAAAUUGAGGCCCACUAUGUCUGAAAUUGCGGAUUCGCUGGAAGAUCAUCUGCUACAGAGACAAACUGAAGCAGUUGCUAUGGCUAUUGAGUUUUCACACAACUCAUUGAUCCACCAACAAUUUCAGUUCUAAAUACCUUAUUGAGGAUUGAAAUUGGUGGAAAGUCUACAAGGGAACUUUUGCGGAAGAUAAGGUUUAUAGGUUUAUGUUGUUAAACAAUUUAAAAAUAUGUUGCUUCUGCGCAACAAUGAUCAAAUUGUGGAACUUGGAACCACCCGAAUAUUGUUAGUUUAAUAGGGUUCUGCAUAUUCGGUAAGAAAAGAUAUAUUAUCACCGAUUUGAUGCCUUCCAUGUCUUUGGCAAGUCUUAUUUACGGUUAUUGUUGAACAUGGCCUAUUUUUAAUUAUUUUGAUUCAAUUGAUUUCUUGUUUAUUUAUUAAACUUAUCUUCUUGUGAAAUAGAUGCUCCCCUAGGGUCCCAACAACUAAAUUGAAGGGCAAGAAUAUUGGACUAAAUUGAAGGGCAAGAAUAUUGGUUGCAGAGGGUCCAAAAAUAUUGAUUGCACUCCAAGUCCCUUUGGCGCUGAGACAUCUGCACAAACAGCAGCUUGGUUUGACAACAAAACAACAUCAUUCUAUCUCUAUCAUUCAGAUCACUUUUUAGAAGAUAACUUAUUCUAUUAUUAAUUUGUAUUUGUACUAUUGGAUUUUUGAAAUGUCCAAUAAGUUGUGUCUUAUUACUCCCGUGCGAUGCACGUUUAUAAAUUGAGGAUAUUUUUCAAUAAUAUAAUUGAGAAAUUUUUCUUAGUUA
Salvia miltiorrhiza (redroot sage) is the source of this 941-nucleotide long non-coding RNA. RefSeq lists it as uncharacterized. The record is from RefSeq and is a predicted model, not a curated record. Lineage: Eukaryota; Viridiplantae; Streptophyta; Magnoliopsida; Lamiales; Lamiaceae. The transcript has 2 exons.